Molecule: unclassified non-coding RNA, 235 nt
Filed under: plant metagenome
Description: partial contains small subunit ribosomal RNA, internal transcribed spacer 1, and 5.8S ribosomal RNA
Source: RNAcentral
UCUCCGUUGGUGAACCAGCGGAGGGAUCAUUACCGAAGUUACCUUCAAAACCCACUGUGAACCUUACCUCUUGCCGCGUUGUCUCGGCGGGAGGCGGUGUGCGUCGCGCGCCCUAGCGGGCCGCGCCGCUCCCGUCCCCGCCGGCAGCGCCAAACUCUAAAUGCACAGCGGACUGUACGUUCUGAUUUACAAAAAAAACAAGUUAAAACUUUCAACAGCGGAUCUCUUGGUUCUG